GCUGAUGUGAUUGUGGAGGUCAGCAAGUCCAAAAUCUUCGAGAUGUGCUGGCAGGCUGGUGAUCCGGGGAAGAGUUGCUGUCGUACCUGAACUCUGAGAGCCGUCUGCUGGCAGAAUUCUCUCUUCCUCGGAGGAGAAUCACCAUGAGAACAGCUGGGACUCAUUGACCAAUGGCAGCUGGAUGACCCGCAGUCGCCAUCCACUGAAUCCUUCCAGAAACACCUGCACGUGGAGGGAGGUAUUGCUGUCUCCCCAUUUUGCAGGCUGGCCUAAUGGGAAGGUUGACCUGAUUUCCACUCUCCUACCGAAAAGUGACAAUGCAGCUGCCGGGCCAAGGAGGGACGUUGUGUGACCAGUUCAGAGGCAGGAGUUCACGCGGCUGCAGUGACCCUCUGCAAAAGGAAGCAACUGGACAUUUCCUCUACACAUUGUCUCUUUUGAAAAGUUCCAAGCAGAUGCUCGCCCACCCACCAAGGCUGAGGCCGAAGAAAAUUCUGCGAUGACAAGGCUCUGCAGGUGCCGUACAGAGCGAGUACUUUUCAGGCAGCUGGCGGAGCCCAGAGCAAGCUUCCCCCGGAGCAUCCAAAGGGGCCACUUGGCUGCGGUCGCCAUUGUGAGAACAACAGGAAACUGAGCAGGGGCUGCGCUCGUCCUGGGCAGGACAACUCUCCAUUUCCCUUCAGGCCUGGCAUUGUUUUGCUGAUGGAAGAAAAGUGGAAUGGGGCGUGAUCACACUGCCGGCUCAGCAGCUGGAAAGCUCGUGUUGGCUUAAAUGUGCACAAGAUGUCCUCUGGUUGCUGGAUUUGGCUUCUUUGAUGACUGCAUUGCCCUGAGACUGGACCCCAGAGAAUCUCUGAAUUAUUGGGUGCUUUGACGGUUAAUCACUGAACAACAAAGAAUCACUCAAUAAUUGGAUGCCUAUCUAAAAACACUUCCCAACCUCCUUUGCAUAUAGACAUGACCAACAUGCUGAGGUCAAUGUGUAGGGGUUUCCAGGAAGGCUCUUUAAGGAGAACCAAUUCACCUGCAAGAAGGAUGAUGAAGUCUUCCGCCCCGAGAUCCUGAGAGAACAGUGGGCUUAGUGGAAACACCACACACCUGGCUGGGUCUUGUCAGGUGGAGACGCUGAGAGGUAUUUCUUUCCAGUCCCGGAAGACGCGGAAUUCUUUCCCGGCAGCUUUGUUCGGCCUGCGUCUGAGCGAGAAAGAUACCACAUCCCAGAGUUGCUGUGAGCUUCAAACGAGACAAGAUAUGUAGAAGUGCCAUGCAAAUAUAAACCAGUUCUACAACUCUAGGUGGACAGCGGAGAACAGACUUCCUGUCUUGAGCACCUGCCCUGUUUAGGCUUCCCAGCAGCGGUAAACAGCAUCUCCCGUUGCCUCCUGCUUCCAAGGGCGGUUCCAAAGAAGAAUCAUGGUUGUUGAGUUGCUUGGCGAAACACUCCGCACACAGUAGGUACCCCGUAUAUAAUUGUUUAAUGAAUUAAUUAAAGAAUGAAUUAAUGGAAAUAAAGCACAGGGCAAGGUGUCCAGCCCGUGGGAACUACUCACUAACUAUGUGUUAUUAGGACUGAUCACGACGAUUAUAAAAUAAUUAUAAUGCAGCCUUGAAAAUAGCCACCAGCCUGUGUGCAUCUGGGCAGCCAAAGAAAAUAUGAGUCACCGCCAUAACCAUCAGGUCUAUUGCCAACUUCCAGGCCCAGGUAGAAUUUCUCUGUGGCUUUAAGGUUCAGGCAACUAAAUAUGUGGAGAAGUGAUAUCUGUCAAGCUGGAGGCUUUAUGUCCGGGGUGCAAUUUACCACGACUUCUUUUGUCUCUGCCAUGGUGGCUGGCAACGUCUGAAUGCUGGUGGAGUGACAGCUCUCCGCAGAAGCACGGUAGAAAAACAAGAUCAAGGUCGCACGAAAGAGGGUUGUGUGUUCUUGUGGCAAAUCUAGUCCACCCUGGCUGGUAGAAUAACCUAAAGGAAAUUGUCAAAUCAGGUGGAGCAAGGCGGCUCAAGCUCUGUCCAGCAAUCUGCUGUAUUUUUCUCUUCUCUCUGUGGGUUUUGAACCAAAAUCUGUUUCCAGUUCAUGUCUAGUUAAAUGUCUUUAUUCUCUUUGGUUUAAUCACCAAGAGCAGAAAGGCAUGAUGAGGGCGUCUCUGAUCAUAAUUAAAUCUAGCCUGUGAAAAUGCUCUUGGCUAGACUCUGCUGGUCUUCAUCGUAAAGCCCGUGGGAAGCUCUCAGGAUCAAUAUUCUGCCUUGUU
Non-coding RNA from Macaca mulatta (Rhesus monkey), 2246 nucleotides. NCBI's taxonomy places the organism in Eukaryota, Metazoa, Chordata, Mammalia, Primates, Cercopithecidae. The record is from RefSeq and is a predicted model, not a curated record.